This 565-nucleotide long non-coding RNA is filed under the name Monodelphis domestica (gray short-tailed opossum). RNAcentral's name for it is "lncRNA (ENSMODG00000042349.1)". The record is from RNAcentral. Lineage: Eukaryota; Metazoa; Chordata; Mammalia; Didelphimorphia; Didelphidae.
AAUACUUAAUUCUGCCUGAAUCACCCCUUCUUAGUGUUCAGAGAUCUCUCUUGGCGAAGAAUUAGAGGUGUAAGAUUAUAAAACAGUGUCGAGCCGGGUUCUCAGGCUUGACUAAGCAAACUCCAAAUGAGCAGAUCUCAAAAUAAUCCCCGAAUUCUCGACUUUGGGGCUGGAAACUGACAGAUGUUAUUACGAAUUCCAUUCGAUGCAGUGGAUAUUUAUGAACCAUCUACCGUCCCAUAAAUCCAAUAAACUGAUGAAGGAGCUCCGCUGCGCAGGGCUGUGGGAAGGGAAGAAAAGACUUUGGGGAUGUCAUGAAAUCCGUCUUCAAAUAUUUGAAGGAUUGACUCUGGAAAGGGGAAUCAGCCUGGACCUGUUUGGCCCCAGAGGGGAAAACCAGGAGCCUGGGGUUGGAGAUGAGAAAAUUGAGACCUGGGAGCUGUGAUAGUGACUAGUCCAAGGCCACGUGGAUCAAGAAAUGUCAAAGGCAAGAUUUGCAUCCUACCUCUGACUCCAGAGCCAGUGUUUUUCUCAGUUUAACAUAAUUAAAAAAAAUCUAUUCAAG